RNAcentral lists this long non-coding RNA (2206 nucleotides) under Sinocyclocheilus anshuiensis. RNAcentral describes it as "lncRNA (ENSSANG00000010806.1)". Lineage: Eukaryota; Metazoa; Chordata; Actinopteri; Cypriniformes; Cyprinidae. The record is from RNAcentral.
GCCUUUGUGUGCCCACAAGGGUGGAAUCAGAGGCAGCUCUCUCUAUCGUGCACGGAUGCCUGAGGAGCGCGGGGUUCGCUGACGCUCCGGGGAACAGAAACAAAGAAAAUAAUCUUCUAGAUGAGUUUUAUCGAUGGAUUGAUGUGAGUGAAGUGACGCAUUUUAUUUUCCAUUUGUUGUGAAUGACAUUGAUAUUAUAAUGUGAGUGAAACGGACAUUUAACUUGUAAAUAUAAAAGUGUAUGGUGAUAUACAUAUACUCUACUAGCGACAGAGUGUUGCUAAAGUGUUUACAGAGUGUAUUUUUGAUGAAAAAGGGUAAAGAAAAGGAUUUAAAGGGGACGUGCUGUACCUGCACCAUUCUGGAAUUUUCUGAGUUUAACGAUCUCCUUGGUCAAGUUUUUUUUUUCCUUGUUGUUCUGUCCUUUUCCAAAUUCGAUUGCUGUCUGUCUGAUGUGACGAGAUGUUCCGGUACCUGCAUUCUGGAUUUGUCCCGGCCUUCCGGUGGUUCUGAGGAGGGUUUGGACUGGCGAGCCUCCCUUGAGUCUGUUCUUGGAUUUUCUGUGGAAACAAAAGACAAGUUUUUCUGACCCUGUGAAUGGUAGGAAAUCGAAUAACCUUUCUUUCUUUUUUUUCCCUCUUUCGGAUUGGAGACGUUUUUUCCUCAUUGACAGAGAAAAGACAUUUAUAUCUCUCUACGGACUAUUUGAAGAACUGUUUUUCUUGAAAGACUGAGCAAUUGAGGGUUUUGAAAUCGAAGGACAUUAUUUUAUUUCAUUGAGAAGUGUUAAUUUUCUGUUGUGGUGACAGCUGUGAUACAUACAUUGGGUUUUUGAUAUUUGAAUACUGAUUGAUCUAAAAAGAAAAAAAUUGACAAAGGUAACAUAAGUGUUCAUAUUCAACCUUUAUUUGGGUGAAUCAACUACUGAGUUAAAGUGAACGAACAAAGAACUUACCUUGUUGAAAAUUGAGGGAAAAGGUUCAUGAAACCUGCUAAAACAAAAGAGUGACAAAAUUUAGAAACAAGAAUUUAAUUUGUGAAAAUAUAUAUAUUUUUUCCUUUCUGUUUUCAUUGAUUCACAUUGAUUCAACUUACCCGUUGAGUGCUGUUAAACCACAAAUACACGUUGUGUGUUCGACCAAACCAUUCGUUGAGUGUUCAGUGUUGUUGUUGCAUCUUUCUCAGCAGCGACUCUAGUCUUCUGAGACGCUGGUCCAUAGAUUGGCAUAUAACAAGUUACUAAUGAAUCUACAAGUUAUUAGCUAGAUAGUAAGCGCUACACGUGUAUCAAGACCACAGUGGGCCAGUAAGCUGAGUAUUGAUAUUCAGCACUCGCAGCCAUUCCUGCCAGAUCAGAUAUUGCUCCAAAGCAAACUGACAUGAAAAAAACGGGAACACUUGUCUUAAAUUAUAAGGAAAUAAUGGAGCAAAGCAAUGGAGGGAUGCAUAAACAAACUGGCAGUAAAUGGAUGUAUCCACUAACACUGUGUGGGAAUUUCACUGGAAAGAACUAAUAAGCAAGGACAUUACAAACAAAGAAAAACAAAGGCCAAGAUCCGCUCAGAUCUCAGAGCUUUCACUGGGAAUGUUCUUCUGAGAACAGGUGCUCAAAGGAAGCUUUAAUCUUCUAUCAAACCUUUGCAAAUCUGACUCGGACUCAAUGGGAGCUGUUAAAAUAAUGUUCCAGUGAUGUAAGUGGUUUAUGCAGUAUGAAAAACGGGGUUGUGUAAAUGCUACCUUAUUUUAUUCUAAUUUGUGAUUUCUGUCACAGUCCACCAGAAUAGAUGCCAUAUUUAAUUUAACACAAAUAAAAACAAGGCUGUGAAGGAUAGACCAGAUUAUUGAGUAGGUUAUACUGUUGGGUACCUUGGUGUCAAUCGUUCGGUUUACAAAAUGCUUAAAUUACAUUAUUCCAGGGAAAAAAAAAAAAAGUAUGAAAUGAUUAAAAUACUAUCUCAUUAAAAUACUAUUUCCUGUCUCUGGGCCAUCAUGCAAUUUUACUUCUUGAAUGUUAGCAUCUUGGCAAAAUUAGCUAAAUUGUCAAUAAACUCUCACUCUUGCUGUUUGUAAUAAUUUUUAAUGCUUUGGCAAAUUAUUGGCAAAUUAUCAUGCUUUUUUUGUAUGGUCUGCUUACACUCCACUGAGGGUUUGGUUUACAGUUGGCCCUUCAGGUUUAGUUGUUUUCUAAAAAUGGUAUGUUUUCACA